UGGCUCAGUGGUAGAGUGCUUGCCUUGUAUGCAUGAGGCCCUGGGUUCGAUUCCUUA
RNAcentral lists this transfer RNA (57 nucleotides) under Dipodomys ordii (Ord's kangaroo rat). It matches the Rfam family "tRNA", at positions 8 to 63 of the family's 71-position model. From Rfam's summary of the family: Transfer RNA (tRNA) molecules are approximately 80 nucleotides in length. Their secondary structure includes four short double-helical elements and three loops (D, anti-codon, and T loops). The record is from Rfam by way of RNAcentral. Lineage: Eukaryota; Metazoa; Chordata; Mammalia; Rodentia; Heteromyidae.